AAUGGAUUAAUCCUCUUUAGG
RNAcentral lists this transfer RNA (21 nucleotides) under Medora garganensis. Its description in RNAcentral is "partial tRNA-Met". The record is from RNAcentral. Lineage: Eukaryota; Metazoa; Mollusca; Gastropoda; Stylommatophora; Clausiliidae.